RNAcentral lists this ribosomal RNA (424 nucleotides) under Cryptocheilus sp. SH-2011. Its description in RNAcentral is "eukaryotic LSU rRNA". Lineage: Eukaryota; Metazoa; Arthropoda; Insecta; Hymenoptera; Pompilidae. The record is from RNAcentral.
UCGAAUGGGGAGAUUCAUCGUCGGUGGCGCUGGCUUCGCGGUGGUGGGCGAUGUCGGGGACUUCGGUUCUACGGCACGUCGCCGCUGUGUAUGUCCGGUGUCGUAGAUGUGCACUUCUCCCCUAGUAGGACGUUGCGACUCGCUGGGUGUCGGACUACGGCCCGGUUGGUAGACUGUCGCGUCGCUACGGCGUUCGCGACAGACCUCCGGUGUGUCUCUCCUGUCCGACGCUCGGCGGUAUUAUGAGAUAGUAUUCGGCCGCAAUCGUUUUAAACGCAUUGCGUCAUUGGUUCGUGGCAAGCGCGGUCAGUGUCCCGUGUGGUUCGGACUUUGUGCCGUCCCCGGGCCUGGCCAGCUGUUGGCUCACGAUUUAUCCUCUGACCGGCCAAUUUUACUUGAUUGCGACGCUUUUGCUUUGGGUACU